GACGAACGCUGGCGGCGCGCUUAACACAUGCAAGUCGUGCGGUGUCGAAGGCAAGUCUUACGACAAGCCUUCGACACAGCGGCGAACGGGUGAGUAACACGUGAGUAGCUGUCCUAAGGAGGGGGAUAACGCCUGGAAACGGGUGCUAACACCCCAUAUGCCUCGCAAGAGGUGAAAGUGUACUUGCUACAGCCUUAGGGUGUGCUCGCGGCCUAUCAGCUAGUUGGUGAGGUAACGGCUCACCAAGGCCAAGACGGGUAGCCGGCCUGAGAGGGUGUACGGCCACACUGGAAUUGAGAUACGGUCCAGACUCCUACGGGAGGCAGCAGUGGGGAAUCUUGGGCAAUGGGCGAAAGCCUGACCCAGCGACGCCGCGUUGGGGAUGAAGCCCUUCGGGGCGUAAACCCAUGUUGUAGGGGACGAAGAAAGUGACGGUACCUACGAGAAAGCCCCGGCAACUACGUGCCAGCAGCCGACGGUAAAAGUACUCUAU
This 493-nucleotide ribosomal RNA is filed under the name uncultured bacterium. RNAcentral's name for it is "bacterial SSU rRNA". It matches the Rfam family "Bacterial small subunit ribosomal RNA", at positions 28 to 531 of the family's 1533-position model. The record is from RNAcentral.